GCCUGGCUGGCUCAGUCGGUAGAGCAUGAGACUGUCGAUCUCGGGGUCCUGUGUUCAAGCCGCACACUGGGCA
This is a non-coding RNA of Ailuropoda melanoleuca (giant panda), 73 nucleotides long. The record is from Rfam. NCBI's taxonomy places the organism in Eukaryota, Metazoa, Chordata, Mammalia, Carnivora, Ursidae.